UAACCUUGUUGAAGACUGCAUCGGAAAAUACCAACAAAGGGAGAGAACUUUGGAAGAAAGGGCCAUCUUUGCAACAGGCUUUCAGCUUUUCUCUAGUGAGAGGAACCUAAGCAUUUGCAAACCCUGAAGAGAAAGUAAUCAGGUACCUUGAGCAAUUCUGAUCAUCAUCCUGUGUCAUUUUUGUACCUGUCACCUGAAUCUGAAAGCUACAUUUAAAAAAAAUUUUGCUUUAAGUUCUGAGAUACAUGUGCUGAAUGUGCCAGUUUGUUACAUAGGUAUACAUGUGCCGUGGUGGUUUGCUGCACUUAUCAUGAAAGUUAUAUUGAAGCUUGUUUUCCUUUUCAAUCCAUCUGAAUUAAUAUGUUCAUAUAUGGGUCAUGUCUGUUGACACUUUUCCAUCUGGAGCAACUGUUCCAGCCUUCUUCCCUGUGCCUCAUAUAACCUAAGUGUGAGUAGAGUGAAAAAAAAUGUACACCGCUAUGACUGUACUAGCCAUCUCACACAGAAUCAGAGAAAAAUGAUUUCUGAAAUAUAUAGAUAUUUAAAAUAAAAAGAAUUAUUGAAUAUUAA
RNAcentral lists this small RNA (570 nucleotides) under Pan troglodytes (chimpanzee). RNAcentral describes it as "processed transcript". The record is from RNAcentral. Lineage: Eukaryota; Metazoa; Chordata; Mammalia; Primates; Hominidae.